This 497-nucleotide ribosomal RNA is filed under the name uncultured bacterium. Its description in RNAcentral is "partial 16S ribosomal RNA". It matches the Rfam family "Bacterial small subunit ribosomal RNA", at positions 28 to 507 of the family's 1533-position model. The record is from RNAcentral.
GAUGAACGCUGGCGGCGUGCCUAAUACAUGCAAGUCGAGCGAACGGACGAGAAGUUUGCUUCUCUGAUGUUAGCGGCGGACGGGUGUGUAACACGUGGAUAUCCUCCCUAUAAGACUGGGAUAACUUCGGGAAACCGGUGCUAAUACCGGAUAAUAUUUUGAACCGCAUGGUUCAAAAGUGAAAGACGUUCUUGCUGUCUCUUAUAGAUUGAUCCGCGCUUCAUUAGCUAGUUGGUAGGGUAACGGCUUACCAAGGCAACGUUGCAUAGCCGACCUGAGAGGGUGAUCGGCCACACUGGAACUGAGACACGGUCCAGACUCCUACGGGAGGCAGCAGUAGGGAAUCUUCGGCAAUGGGCGAAAGCCUGACGGAGCAACGCCGCGUGAGUGAUGAAGGUCUUCGGAUCGUAAAACUCUGUUAUUAGGGAAGAAAAUAUGGGUAAGAAACUGGGCAGAUCAUGACGGUACAGAAUCAGAAAGCAACGGCUAACUACGUG